Non-coding RNA from Schistosoma mattheei, 42 nucleotides. The record is from Rfam. NCBI's taxonomy places the organism in Eukaryota, Metazoa, Platyhelminthes, Trematoda, Strigeidida, Schistosomatidae.
AUCCAAUUGACGAGUCCCGAAUAGGACGAAACGCGUGUCCAU